Long non-coding RNA from Astatotilapia calliptera (eastern happy), 1107 nucleotides. The record is from Ensembl. NCBI's taxonomy places the organism in Eukaryota, Metazoa, Chordata, Actinopteri, Cichliformes, Cichlidae.
UAGUCUAGUCUAGUCUAGUCUAGUCUAGUCGCUUUACGUGAGUAGUGUGGGCUUGUGGGCCUCGGCAGCAGUAAAGCUAGCUGCUGCUAGUGAUAGGGUGAGCUUGUGGGCUCCUGGAAGUGCCUCCUCGUGGUGUGGAGUUUUUGUUUGGUUGUGUUCUUUGUUGUUGCAACCUUUUUUUUCCUUUUUCCAAGUGUUAUUGGUAAAACGGUGUUGCUGGCUCUUUAUGUUAAGGUUAUCUAUAAUAAAGACUAUUGUAUUUGCUAAAUACCUGUUUUCCUUUCAUUCUGUUCUGGACUCAUUUGUUACUGGUCCCCUCACUCGCAUGCCUAGACCCCUUCGGGGGGAUGUAACAAUGUGGUCCGGGAUAUGAAUAGAAGGGACAGCAAUUGAGUAUUAGUGGGUUGUUUGCCGGUGGCCUGUUUAGUUGUAUUGUAUCUGCAGUGCUCUCUCUCCAGUUAGAAAAGGGGAGUGUCUAGCUGAGUGUAAGCUCCUCCUUCAGGCACUCAUUUUUUAUUUUGCUUUUUUUAUUUUCGGAGUAAUCCUGGGUGGGGAUUAGUUCCCUGUCGGGGGUAGGCUUGUCGGUGAUUUGUGCACUUGAUGCUUAGCCUUUAAAGUUGCCUCGAGCCUGGUACACUCCAGAAGCUAACUAGGCUAAGAUUUUAGUAGGCAGGUCUGGGGAGAGGGUCGGUGGUAAUUUUAUUUAUUGGUUAACCUGUGGCCACAUGGCCCACCCGUUUUAUUCAUUUGUGUAUUGGAGGUGGUGCUUCUUUGUUGUUACUGUUAGCCUCAGGUAGUUGUUUUAGUUUCAAUGGCUACCUUUGAUAUUGCCGUGUUUAAGGAAAACCCUUCGUUUGUCCAGCUGGACGCCUGUAGGAAGAGGGAUUUGCAUGAGGUGGUGUCAUUCUAUGGCAUUUGUGUCUCCACAGCUCUGCGUAAGGCUGAGCUGAAAGCUGCUCUUGUGUCUGGCUUGGUGGAGAAAGGGAUAAGAUAAGAAAACCUUUAUUAGUCCCACACGUGGGAAAUUUGUUUUGUCACAGCAGGAAGUGGACAGUGCAAAGUUAUGAAGCAAAAAUUAGAGUAUAAUAAGAAUAAAUACAGUAUACA